Molecule: transfer RNA, 87 nt
Filed under: Takifugu rubripes (torafugu)
Lineage: Eukaryota; Metazoa; Chordata; Actinopteri; Tetraodontiformes; Tetraodontidae
Also listed under: 3 other names
Rfam family: tRNA
About the family: Transfer RNA (tRNA) molecules are approximately 80 nucleotides in length. Their secondary structure includes four short double-helical elements and three loops (D, anti-codon, and T loops).
Source: Rfam by way of RNAcentral
CCUUCGAUAGCUCAGUUGGUAGAGCGGAGGACUGUAGUGGCACGCGCUGAAAUCCUUAGGUCGCUGGUUCGAAUCCGGCUCGAAGGA